Molecule: long non-coding RNA, 3097 nt
Organism: Ahaetulla prasina
Lineage: Eukaryota; Metazoa; Chordata; Lepidosauria; Squamata; Colubridae
Exons: 4
Source: RefSeq, a predicted model, not a curated record
UAAAAGGAUCACACACGAAUCCAACUUCCACCAUCCCGGUAAGGAAGAAGAGCAGAGAGCAAGAGGGGAAGGGAGCUCCAAGCACCCAAGGCGGACAAGAAGUGGCCCAGGAGGAACCUUCCUUGAAUUCAGAGGCUUGGUAAAAGUGGUAAAGGUUCCCCUCGCACCUAUGUGCUAGUCGUUCCCGAAUCUAAGGGAUGGUGCUCAUCUCCGUUUCAAAGCUGAAGAGCCAGCGCUGUCCGAAGAUGUCUCCGUGGUCAUGUGGCCGGCAUGACUAAACGCCAAAGGCGCACAGAACACUGUUACCUUCCUGCCAAAGGUCACCGAAUUCUCACAGACAUUAUCGUAGCUCAGGAUGAAAGCUGAACACAAGGGGGGCAGCCUUAGGACGGCUCCUGGGAGAGAAGCAACAGGACCUUUGAUCUGCAGUAGAAGAAAAGAGAUGCCAUAAAGCAUUUGGGGAGAUUAAAGGGGGCACCGCAAAACUUUAAAAAGACUCUUUUAAAAAUGGGUCUGGAAGGCCUGCGAUGAACAUUCAUGAGAUCUUCCAGUGAGAUCCGGUUCCCUUGAAUUAUGACCCUGAAGGAUACCCACCCACUACCCUGCUUGGCUCUGUAGCUUUCCCUUUGUCAUCCUAUGCCUGGGAAAUUCAGGGAGGCUGGGACGGUGAAGGGAAGCCCACAGCGCUAUAGUUCCAGCUGGAGAUGCACAAUGGUGGAGCCAGACCUACAUCUGAUCAACACGCCGUGCUACUGUAUGAAAAGUCGCCAUCUUGCCUUGCACAGUAUUGGGGGCACCCAGAAACAAUUGAAACCUCUCAGUUUGCACCAGCUUCUUACUUGUAGGGUUGACUCAGCUUUUCAUCCUUCCGAGGUUGGGUAAAGUGAGGACCCAGAUUGUUGGGGGCAAUAGGCUGACUCCAGGGGUGAAAUCCAGCAGGUUCUGACAGGUUCUGGAGAACUGUUAGCGGAAAUUUUGAGCAGUUCGGAGAACUGGCAAAAUACCACCUCUGGCUGGUCCCAGAGUUUUGUUUUUUUAAUUUGCAUUUAUAUCCCGCCCUUCUCCGAAGACUCGGGGCGGCUUACACUAUGUUAGCAAUAGUCUUCAUCCUAUUUGUAUAUUUAUAUAAAAAGUCAAUUUAUUGCCCCCAACAAUCUGGGUCCUCAUUUUACCUACCUUAUAAAGGAUGGAAGGCUGAGUCAACCUUGGGCCUGGUGGGACUAGAACCUGCAGUAAUUGCAAGCAGCUGCUGUUAAUAACAGACUGCAUUAGCAGUCUGAGCCAGCGUGGGAUGGGAAUGGAGUAUUUUGCAGUAUCCUUCCCCCAAGAGUGGGGAGGGAAAGGGGAUUUUACAGGAUCCUUUCCCUAGAGUGGGGUGGGAAUGGAGAUUUUGCAGUAUCCUUCCCCUGCCACGCCCAUCAAGCCACGGUCACAGAACUGGUAGUAAAAAAAAUUGGAUUUCACCACUGGCUGACUCUGUGAAUCGCUUAGAGAGGGCUGUAAAGCACUAUGGAGCGGUAUGUAAGUCUAAGUGGUGUUCUUUAAAAAAUUACACAUAUCAAUACCAUACCAAUUAACACCUGACCUUCAGCAGCCAGUAACUAGUACUUCAUGGUACUUCAUGGUACUACUUAAUGUGACUGAGUAUAUAAUUGUUCUUGUGUUUGUGUGUGUUUCUUUAAUACUCAUCUGAUUCACUUUCUAUUUUGGUUUUCUUUUGAUUGAAUUCGUACAUGGUCCAAUUCCUCUCGGAUUGGGGUGAGUCAUAAGAAGGCUAGAUAAACGAAUAAAUAAAUAAAAUAAGCCAGCCUCACUAGAGCUCUGUGAGAAAAAGACAAAACUGAAAUGUAAUAAAAAACGAAACAAAGCAAAAGGCCAAAGCAUGUUAUGCAAACUCAGCCUUUGUGGCUAACUUAUGAGUCAGGGUUGGAGUGGAUCUGUGAUAUUGAUUUAACUGAACAAGCUACUGUUUAAUUACAUAGGUAAAUGUUGAAUCCAAAACCACCUUUAGAAAGUUGUGUGAACAUUCACAAUCAUCUCGGAUAGAUCCAGAUAAUGGGGAAAGGUCACGACUGUGACUGAGUUUGUACAACUUCUAGGCCAUAAUCAGGGGUGGGCUUCAAAAAAUUUAGCGAGGGGUUUUCUGCCCGGUUGCUGGGUGGGCAUGGGGGGUGCAUGGGUAUUUUUUUGCCUCCCCCAGUUCCGGAGGCUUUCCUCAAGCCUCCAGGAGAGCGAAAACAGCCUCCCCAGGCUCUGGAGGCCCUCUGGAACUUCCAGUAGGUCCGUUUUUCGCCUUCCCCGAGCCUCCGCACGUGCCCUGCACUUACCUGCAUCCAAAACAAGCCGUGUUGGGACUCCUGGGAGGUGUGGGGUGGGAUGGGUGGGACCAGCCAGGAGUGGGAUUUGGGGGUUCUCCAAACUGCACAGAAUCUUAGCUAGAGGUUCUCUCGAACCCCUGAGAACUCUCAGCAGCCCACCCCUGGUCAUAAUGAAGUUUCUUUCUUUAUUGUUUAAUACAGUGGUUUGCAACCCUUUCUUCACCUGGAUCCUCUUUAAAUACAUUGUGUGGCCACGGAUCAUGGCCACAGAGCCCCAAGACUUAACUCAAGAUUUCAAUUAUAUUUCUUCAAGUCUUCGCAGACUCCCUGUGAUGACAUCACGGAUCCUCCCAGUCCCAGGGGUUCGCGGACCACAGGUUGAGAACCCCUGGUUUAGUAUGUUGUAUGAAUCUGCCAAUGUAAUUUGUAAACCUUUAAGCGCAAGCUCAAGACUUUCUUACUUCAUCGAGCAGGGCUGGCCUAAUGGGAAUUUUAAUGGGGUUUUAUAGGGUUUUUAUAAUUUUAUUCUAUUAUUUUUAACUUUUAGCCAAAUUGAAUUAGAUUUUUAGUGAUAUAUGGUUUUAAUUGCUGUGUUACUGUUUUAUUUUGGCUGUACACGCCCUGAGUCUUUGGAGAAGGGCGGUAUAAAAAUAUAAAUAAAUAAAUAAAUAAAUAAAUAAAUAAAUAAACAAACAAACCAGGAUUUCUGGUUUAAACUUGUUUUGUUUAAACUUUCCAGUUAUGGCAUAUUAAAUAAAGCCUGUUUAGUUAUACUACAA